GACGAACGCUGGCGGCGUGCUUAACACAUGCAAGUCGAACGGUGAAGCCCUUCGGGGUGGAUCAGUGGCGAACGGGUGAGUAACACGUGAGCAACCUGCCCCUGGCUCUGGGACAACCACUGGAAACGGUGGCUAAUACCGGAUACGACCCGCCUCGGCAUCGAGUGUGGGUGGAAAGUUUUUCGGCUGGGGAUGGGCUCGCGGCCUAUCAGCUUGUUGGUGAGGUGAAGGCUCACCAAGGCGACAACGGGUAGCCGGCCUGAGAGGGCGACCGGCCACACUGGGACUGAGACACGGCCCAGACUCCUACGGGAGGCAGCAGUGGGGAAUAUUGCACAAUGGGCGAAAGCCUGAUGCAGCGACGCCGCGUGAGGGAUGACGGCCUUCGGGUUGUAAACCUCUUUCAGCUCCGAAGAAGCGAAAGUGACGGUAGGAGCAGAAGAAGCACCGGCUAACUACGUG
This 462-nucleotide ribosomal RNA is filed under the name uncultured bacterium. Its description in RNAcentral is "partial 16S ribosomal RNA". It matches the Rfam family "Bacterial small subunit ribosomal RNA", at positions 28 to 507 of the family's 1533-position model. The record is from RNAcentral.